GACAGGGUGGCGUUGUAGGGCUCUACCACCGUGUCUGACACCUUGGGUGAGGGUACCACGCUGAAGGUGUUCAUGAUGCGGUCAGGGUAUUCCUCACGCACCUUGCUGAUG
This is a microRNA precursor of Erinaceus europaeus (western European hedgehog), 111 nucleotides long. The record is from Ensembl. NCBI's taxonomy places the organism in Eukaryota, Metazoa, Chordata, Mammalia, Eulipotyphla, Erinaceidae.